CUGGCGGCGUGCCUAACACAUGCAAGUCGAACGAGAAAGUGGAGCAAUCCAUGAGUACAGUGGCGUACGGGUGAGUAACACGUGACUAACCUACCCUCGAGUGGGGAAUAACUUCGGGAAACCGAGGCUAAUACCGCAUAAUGUCUACGGACCAAAUGCGCAAGCAGCUUGAGGAGGGGGUCGCGGCUGAUUAGCUUGUUGGCGGGGUAACGGCCCACCAAGGCAAUGAUCAGUAGCCGGCCUGAGAGGGCGCACGGCCACACUGGAACUGAAACACGGUCCAGACUCCUACGGGAGGCAGCAGUGGGGAAUUUUGCGCAAUGGGGGAAACCCUGACGCAGCAACGCCGCGUGGAGGAUGACGCCCCUUGGGGUGUAAACUCCUUUCGAUCGGGACGAUUAUGACGGUACCGGAUGAAGAAGCACCGGCUAACUCUGUGCCAGCAGCCGCGGUAAUACAGAGGGUGCAAGCGUUGUUCGGAAUUAUUGGGCGUAAAGGGUGCGUANGCGGUGCGGUAAGUCUUCUGUGAAACCUCCGGGCUUA
This 543-nucleotide ribosomal RNA is filed under the name uncultured bacterium. Its description in RNAcentral is "bacterial SSU rRNA". It matches the Rfam family "Bacterial small subunit ribosomal RNA", at positions 36 to 611 of the family's 1533-position model. The record is from RNAcentral.